Entelurus aequoreus (snake pipefish) is the source of this 1595-nucleotide long non-coding RNA. RefSeq lists it as uncharacterized. NCBI's taxonomy places the organism in Eukaryota, Metazoa, Chordata, Actinopteri, Syngnathiformes, Syngnathidae. The transcript has 4 exons. The record is from RefSeq and is a predicted model, not a curated record.
ACAAAAUGAGGUAAAAUGGCGGUUAGCGGAUGGAACAACAACUUGUCUCGUCGACUUCACUCAGAUGUCCAGGUUCUGUGUCAGCCUGCGUAGUUCCAGCAGGUUGGCAUGAAGGCUCCCGGUAGGUACGUCCUUGGCUGAGGACGUCUCCGAGGACUCGUCCAUGGAAGAAUCUGUGGAUAGCGCAGAGUCUGUGACGUCGUUACCCCGGAGAUGGGAGCACAGUGAGCGCACCUCACAGUAGGCCUGCCAUAGUUGAAGACGCAGCUGGAGGGGAGAAGACAAAAGCAACAUAUGUGGGGAUUUGAAGGCUUGACCGGUGAGGGGUGAGGCUUUGCAGGCUGUUCUCCUCCGUUAGCUCCUCUAGUUGAGCUGCCAGCUGUCUGUGGGACAACUGAACCUCCAGAAGCGCCACCUGACUCUGCUGCAACUGGACAUGACAGAAGAGUCACAACCAGGCUUAACAACUCCAAGUACAGUGUCUGCUAGCAAGAGAUCUCCUUGCAGCUGCUGAACGUCGCUCUCCAACUCGGCCACGCGACUCUCCCACACCCCCUCUCGACUUUCCAGACGCCAACGCAACUCAUGCUUCUCCUGCUCCAAGUGCUUCGGGGAGAAGAGAAGUGGUACAGAAUUAGAUAUUACAUCAGCAGUUGUCCCAUUUUAAAAUCUGUGUAAAGUAGGGGAUGAGACGGUUUACGAAAAAUGUUCUAACUGUUGGCUUGACCUGGCACAGUUCGGAGCGAAUCUGUUAUUCACAACAUGGGGACGAUGUGGGGACUCGAAUUCCAAUCCGCCCCCCUCACUUUUCCAACAGAGGAUUAAUGUUCCAUUAUUUAGAUGAAUUUUACAUUGCAGAGUCCUAGAGGCUGUGACUGUAGAGGUCUGCUAUGACAGUAACACAACUGAAAUAAAGAAUAACUGAAUGAUGUGAUUUUACAUUGCAGAGUCCUAGAGGCUGUGACUGUAGAGGUCUAUUAUGACAGUAACACACCUGAAAUAAAGAAUAACAACUGAAUGAUGUGAUUUUACAUUGCAGAGUCCUAGAGGCUGUGACUGUAGAGGUCUGCUAUGACAGUAACACAACUGAAAUAAAGAAUAACAACUGAAUGAUGUGAUUUUACAUUACAGAGUCCUAGAGGCUGUGACUGUAGAGGUCUGCUAUGACAGUAACACAACUGAAAUAAAGAAUAACAACUGAAUGAUGUGAUUUUACAUUGCAGAGUCCUAGAGGCUGUGACUGUAGAGGUCUACUAUGACAGUAACACAACUGAAAUAAAGAAUAACAACUGAAUGAUGUGAUUUUACAUUGCAGAGUCCUAGAGGCUGUGACUGUAGAGGUCUACUAUGACAGUAACACAACUGAAAUAAAGAAUAACAACGGAAUGAUGUGAUUUUACAUUGCAGAGUCCUAGAGGCUGUGACUGUAGAGGUCUAUUAUGACAGUAACACAACUGAAAUAAAGAAUAACAACUGAAUGAUGUGAUUUUACAUUACAGAGUCCUAGAGGCUGUGACUGUAGAGGUCUAUUAUGACAGUAACACAACUGAAAUAAAGAAUAACAAUGAAAUGAUGUGAUUUUACAUUGCAGAGUC